AAAUUAAAAUAGGCCUGUUUUUUUUCCCGGAGCCCGAACGAUAUUACCUAAAAAAGCGUAAGAAUUUCGAAAAUUUUUGACGUCUACGAAAAUUUGAUAAAUUAAUUUCCAAGAGCAUAGAGGUAAUUUCCAUCACGUCCGACGUUUCGAAAGGGGUUUUUGCAGUUUUCGGAAACUCGAGUCGAUUAUUAUAUGAAUAAUGCCAAAAUAGGGAAGAUAAAUGCUAGAGAAUCAUUCUCCAUAUCCUGUAGCAUCUCCAGGUACCCAUAUUUCGGCUCGAUAUGUACAGGUAAGUUUGCAAUUUUCGAUAUAACGAAACCACCUCGGUUAAGCACCGUUCAGAACCUUCGUUUUGGCCCUGAAUAUUUUCAGUCAUUUCGUGAUUUUUAGCGUUGAAAUUGCCAAGAUAAAUUUAUAUUAGGAAAGUCGAGGUCACUUUUCAGCCAAAACUAACUUAAAAUUUUAUAAUUUCCAUAAUUUUUCAAUUCGUAUAACGUGUUUUCCUGUCAUUCGGGUAGAAGUGUUGUUGGAGCCUUAGGCCAGUUUCAUUUGAUUGUUGACAGACCGUGAAAAAAUUGAUGUAAAUUUUUAAGGUUUAAUUAUUAUUCAAAUUAAAGGAUAUAUUUACUACAUUUCUCCCCGUACAAUAGCAUAGCAGUGCUUCGAAGCUCACAUCACAGAUGAAUUUUUUCCCAUAAUCCGAAAGUUAGGUUAUUAUUGAAUUUCCAGAUAUGAAAGACAGUUCUUGGACGUGAAUCUGUAUAAAAAUCAGAUGUAAUAACUGAUAGUUUAUUUUGUCACUAACAAUACUUAUUUUUCAGGCACAUAUAAAUUCAUCAUAUCAAGAAAUGUAUGAAAUUCACAAAUGUCAAAUAUAAUCUCUCGGAAAGUCUCAUUUUAAAUAAAAAAAGCUUCUUCAGGGAUUAAAUUACAUGCAAACUCACAGAAUAAGAAACAUCCUUAAUCUUGGUGUAUGAACAUAAGAAUUUCUAGAUAACAAACGGUUCUUGGGGGCAUAUAUAAAUUUAUCAGAUCAAGAAAUGUAUAAUAUCAUCUCUCGGACAGUGUUAUUUGGUAAAAAAAAAGUUUUUUCAGAGUAAGUUCAUAAAGCAAUUCGUUCAGGAGAGUUUCCAUGUGAAGUAGAUGAUCUAUUUCUCUUCUUUUCAACUGAGUACAUCAGAUUUCUGACAACGUUCAAGCAAUUGGGUAGUGUAUGGAGAUGAUUUUCUUAGUCUAGAUCUAUGGCAAAAUACGUUUUGAGAUAAGUUAUUCUGUUGGAAUUAUAUAAUGAUUAUUGAAACACAAUCUAUGAGUGAGCUUUUGCGUUAAAAUUCUAUGUUUAUAGACAUUUGUCGAGUUUUCUCAUUCAAGGUAAGAUUUUUCUCUUAUCGUAGAGAGAAGGACUCUGUAGGUUUUUGUUCGAAAUAAACUGAAUUAAAUGUUAUAAUA
This is a long non-coding RNA of Coccinella septempunctata (seven-spotted ladybird), 1449 nucleotides long. RefSeq lists it as uncharacterized. NCBI's taxonomy places the organism in Eukaryota, Metazoa, Arthropoda, Insecta, Coleoptera, Coccinellidae. The record is from RefSeq and is a predicted model, not a curated record. The transcript is spliced from 3 exons.